UAAUUUUGAAAACAACCAAAAAAACCACAUGCACAUAAAAAAAAUCAGAAUUCAUGUAAAUUAUAACUAGAAUAUUAAAAAUAUAUGACAAUUUAUCCAUCCCUUCACCAUGGUUCAAAUAUCAGUCCUAGGAUCAUUGUUAAAAAGUUUUGGAUUAUCAAGUUGCCAUGUCGGGGACACUUUCGAACAAUAUGCGCUGCUGCUGCAAGGCGACGGUCACUUAAGUUUUUUCUCCACUCCUCAUUGACAUAGCGUACCACAACUUCAUGUUGCCUGAAAUACAAAAAGAAAUAAGUUAGCUAGCAUCAGUUCAAGGUCUCACUACACUAUUUCUUAGUACGAUCAUAUUGACAUGGAACAGUAUGAGGCAACAUAUGAUGUAUGCACUGUGCAUAACAAAAUUAAGAUUGCAUUGCUUGCCACAAGACUGUUCAGGAACCCAACCAAUAUGCUUGAAAAUGUGCAAUCUGAUGGUGCAUUGUGCAAAUUAACAUGAACCCAAUCACAUGACCUAAUCAUACAUUCUUAAGAAGUUGAUCCCCACUACUAGCAAUUCUCUCUACAUGCGCACUGUCCACAUCAUCAUGAU
This 589-nucleotide long non-coding RNA is filed under the name Triticum aestivum (bread wheat). RNAcentral's name for it is "long non-coding RNA (TAES_LNC012363)". Lineage: Eukaryota; Viridiplantae; Streptophyta; Magnoliopsida; Poales; Poaceae. The record is from RNAcentral.